Ctenopharyngodon idella (grass carp) is the source of this 1551-nucleotide long non-coding RNA. RefSeq lists it as uncharacterized. The transcript is spliced from 2 exons. The record is from RefSeq and is a predicted model, not a curated record. NCBI's taxonomy places the organism in Eukaryota, Metazoa, Chordata, Actinopteri, Cypriniformes, Xenocyprididae.
UCAACUGAUUCUUCAAAAAGAUUCCACUCAAAAUUCAAAUCUUUCAUUCAUCAGAUAGUGCUACUAGUCUCAUGAACUCUCAUAAAUGUGCCAAAUAAAGCUAGGACAGAUGUAAUUUUUAGGUAAAUAAUGAGACAAAUGUCUGUUUCAUAUUGAAUGUGUCACAACCCCUGCUCGGGACUCUUGUUUUGUGUUUCUGUUUGUUUUGUUCCUGUUUCCUGUUUAGCUUGUAGUCGGUUUGUAGUUUUCUGUGUUGAUUAGUUUCAUUGAUCGUUUCCCAGGUGUAUCUUGUUAUGCUUGUUUGCCCUUUGUGCCUGUCUGUAUUAAAGUCCUUGUGUUUCCCUUGUUCAGGGUCUGGUGUUGUCCUGUCUAGGCAGGUUUUUUUUUUUUUUUUUGUGGCGCGUGUUUCAGUUCUGUUCCUUCUUUAUGAUUUUCUCUGUUUUGAGUGUUUUGCCUCUUCCUUGUGUUUUGUUUAUUUCCUUUAAUAAAUUCUCUUUACUCUUCCCCAUCAUUUCUGCAUCCUCAUCAUGUUACAGAAUGGGUUAAAAUGUAAAAUAUGUGCCACAAGUGAAGGAGUCAUUGACAUGAGGGUUAAUGCCCUCAUACAGCGUGUCAGCUGCAGUGUGCUCCCUGGUGGAUGUGUGCUCUGCCAUGACUGCUAUGCCCAGCCUGUUUAGGAGGGGAAGUGUUUUCCUGCGAUCGUGCCAAAGGAGAGGAAAACACGUUCUGCUGCCACUGCAUGUCACUAAGGUCACAGAGGUAUGCUGCACCUCUGGGCUAGCAUGCAUUCCAGUGGCAUGUUUCUGUGAGCUGUGAGGCACAAAUGUGCAUCAAUAUAAGAGGGGGGGAGAGGAAAAAAGCAAGCUUCAAUUUUUUAUAUCCAUUUUUAUGGCUAAAGGGCUGCAAUGAAUAUCACUUGAUGACCUUGGCACCAGCGCAGGUUGUUGACGACUAUUAUAGUUUUAUUCUACAUUUUAUUGCUCAGAUUAAAGUAUGGAUUCACAGUGAAUUAAUGGUGCACUCAGUAUUUUUUUUAUUUAUUAUUAUUAUUUUUUUUUUAUGUUGCCAACAUUACUGUACAUGAAACCUAAUGCUGUAAAUGUUGCAUAAGUGUUCAAUAAUAGGGUGGUCAACAAGAUAAAGCAAGUAUAUUAUAGUAUUAUCAGCAGGAAAUAUGCUCAUGAAGCGAUAUGCUUCUAGCAAAAUAAAACAUUACAUAUUAUUUUAUAUAUACUUACAUUGUAUGUUUACUUACUGUAUAAACAAACACAUACACAAGUAAACACAAUACAGUGGUAAACAUACAAUAUAUUUCUUUACGCUCCAACAUUUUGGUUUGUGAUAUCACAAAUUUUGCUGAAAUUUUAUAUACUAUAUUUUUAAAAGGGUCACUGAAUUUGUUAUCUGCAAUAGUGCAAGUAAAAUAAUAAUCCUCACAUAAACACAUUAUGAUUAGUUAUACUGAGUGUUAUUUGUAUUUUAUACGUACGUAAGUUAACAUUGUUGAAAUGUUUAAACAAUUAUGUAAUAUAAAUUUCUUAUAAAACCAUG